RNAcentral lists this ribosomal RNA (505 nucleotides) under uncultured bacterium. RNAcentral's name for it is "partial 16S ribosomal RNA". It matches the Rfam family "Bacterial small subunit ribosomal RNA", at positions 28 to 507 of the family's 1533-position model. The record is from RNAcentral.
GACGAACGCUGGCGGCGUGCCUAAUACAUGCAAGUAGAACGCACAGUUUAUACCGUAGCUUGCUACACCAUAGACUGUGAGUUGCGAACGGGUGAGUAACGCGUAGGUAACCUGCCUGGUAGCGGGUGAUAACUAUUGGAAACGAUAGCUAAUACCGCAUAAUAUUGAUUAUUGCAUGAUAAUUGAUUGAAAGAUGCUAUUGCAUCACUACCAGAUGGACCUGCGUUGUAUUAGCUAGUAGGUGAGGUAACGGCUCACCUAGGCGACGAUACAUAGCCGACCUGAGAGGGUGAUCGGCCACACUGGGACUGAGACACGGGCCAGACUCCUACGGGAGGCAGCAGUAGGGAAUCUUCGGCAAUGGACGAAAGUCUGACCGAGCAACGCCGCGUGAGUGAAGAAGGUUUUCGGAUCGUAAAGCUCUGUUGUAAGAGAAGAACGGGUGUGAGAGUGGAAAGUUCACACUGUGACGGUAUCUUACCAGAAAGGGACGGCUAACUACGUG